RNAcentral lists this ribosomal RNA (346 nucleotides) under uncultured bacterium. RNAcentral's name for it is "partial 16S ribosomal RNA". It matches the Rfam family "Bacterial small subunit ribosomal RNA", at positions 338 to 681 of the family's 1533-position model. The record is from RNAcentral.
CCUACGGGAGGCUGCAGUGAGGAAUAUUGGUCAAGGGGCGCGAGCCUGAACCAGCCAAGUCGCGUGAGGGAAGACGGUCCUAUGGAUUGUAAACCUCUUUUGUCGGGGAGCAAAAGACGACACGCGUGGCGUUCCGAGAGUACCCGAAGAAAAAGCAUCGGCUAACUCCGUGCCAGCAGCCGCGGUAAUACGGAGGAUGCGAGCGUUAUCCGGCUUUAUGGGGGUUAAAGGGUGCGUAGGCGGUCGGAUAAGUGAGAGGUGAAAUCCCGAGGCUCAACUUCGGAAUUGCCUCUGAUACAGUUCGGCUAGAGCGUAGUUGCGGUCGGCUGCAUGUCUGGUGUAGCGG